Molecule: transfer-messenger RNA, 385 nt
Filed under: Helicobacter pylori
Lineage: Bacteria; Pseudomonadati; Campylobacterota; Epsilonproteobacteria; Campylobacterales; Helicobacteraceae
Also listed under: 1 other name
Rfam family: transfer-messenger RNA
About the family: Bacterial tmRNA, also known as 10Sa RNA or SsrA, is named for its dual tRNA and mRNA-like properties. Its role is to liberate the mRNA from a stalled ribosome. To accomplish this part of the tmRNA is used as a reading frame that ends in a translation stop signal.
Source: RNAcentral
GGGGCUGACUUGGAUUUCGACAGAUUUCUUGUCGCACAGAUAGCAUGCCAAGUGCUACUUGUAAAACAGCAACAAAAAUAACUGUAAACAACGCAGAUUACGCUCCAGCUUACGCUAAAGUUGCGUGAGUUAAUCUCCUUUUGGAGCUGGACUGAUUAGAAUUUCUAGCGUUUUAAUCACUCCAUAACCUUAAGCUAGACGCUUUUAAAAGGUGGUUCGCCUUUUAAACUAAGAAACAAGAACUCUUGAAACUACCUCAAGGUUUUAGAAAGUUGGACCAGAGCUAGUUUUAAGGCUAAAAACUAACCAAUUUUCUAAGCAUUGUAGAAGUUUGUGUUUAGGACAAGAUUUUUGGACUGGGGUUCGAUUCCCCACAGCUCCACCA